GACGAACGCUGGCGGCGUGCCUAAUACAUGCAAGUAGAACGCUGAAGAGAGGAGCUUGCUCUUCUUGGAUGAGUUGCGAACGGGUGAGUAACGCGUAGGUAACCUGCCUUGUAGCGGGGGAUAACUAUUGGAAACGAUAGCUAAUACCGCAUAACAAUGGAUGACACAUGUCAUUUAUUUGAAAGGGGCAAUUGCUCCACUACAAGAUGGACCUGCGUUGUAUUAGCUAGUAGGUGAGGUAAUGGCUCACCUAGGCGACGAUACAUAGCCGACCUGAGAGGGUGAUCGGCCACACUGGGACUUGGACACGGCCCAAGCUCCUUAGGGAGGCAGCAGGAGGGGAUCUUCGGCAAGGGGGGCAAACCUGACCGAGCAACGCCGCGUGAGUGGAGAAGGUUUUCGGAUCGUAAAGCUCUGUUGUAAGUCAAGAAAGGGUGUGAGAGUGGAAAGUUCACACUGUGACGGUAGCUUACCAGAAAGGGACGGCUAACUACGUG
Molecule: ribosomal RNA, 497 nt
Filed under: uncultured bacterium
Lineage: Bacteria
Description: partial 16S ribosomal RNA
Rfam family: Bacterial small subunit ribosomal RNA
Source: RNAcentral